UACCGGGUCGUCUAAUGGUAGGACUUUGGUUUCUGGAUCCAACAAUUGGGGUUCGAAUCCCUACCCGGUAA
Molecule: transfer RNA, 71 nt
Filed under: Candidatus Dojkabacteria bacterium
Lineage: Bacteria
Description: tRNA-Gln
Rfam family: tRNA
About the family: Transfer RNA (tRNA) molecules are approximately 80 nucleotides in length. Their secondary structure includes four short double-helical elements and three loops (D, anti-codon, and T loops). Further hydrogen bonds mediate the characteristic L-shaped molecular structure. tRNAs have two regions of fundamental functional importance: the anti-codon, which is responsible for specific mRNA codon recognition, and the 3' end, to which the tRNAs corresponding amino acid is attached (by aminoacyl-tRNA synthetases). tRNAs cope with the degeneracy of the genetic code in two manners: having more than one tRNA (with a specific anti-codon) for a particular amino acid; and 'wobble' base-pairing, i.e. permitting non-standard base-pairing at the 3rd anti-codon position.
Source: RNAcentral